UGGGGAAUCUUGCGCAAUGGGCGAAAGCCUGACGCAGCGACGCCGCGUGGGUGAUGAAGGCCUUCGGGUCGUAAAGCCCUGUGGGGGGAGACGAAUAAGUCGAGGCGAAUACCCUCGAUGAUGACGGUAUCUCCUUAGCAAGCACCGGCUAACUCUGUGCCAGCAGCCGCGGUAAGACAGAGGGUGCAAACGUUGUUCGGAAUUACUGGGCGUAAAGCGCAUGUAGGCUGCUCUGCAGGUCGGAUGUGAAAUCCCUCGGCUCAACCAAGGAAGUGCAUUCGAAACCGCAGAGCUAGAGUCCCGGAGAGGAAGGUGGAAUUCUCGGUGUAGAGGUGAAAUUCGUAGAUAUCGAGAGGAACACCGGUGGCGAAAGCGGCCUUCUGGACGAGGACUGACGCUGAGAUGCGAAAGCGUGGGGAGCAAACAGG
Molecule: ribosomal RNA, 428 nt
Filed under: uncultured bacterium
Lineage: Bacteria
Description: bacterial SSU rRNA
Rfam family: Bacterial small subunit ribosomal RNA
Source: RNAcentral